Long non-coding RNA from Mus musculus (house mouse), 180 nucleotides. RefSeq annotates it as predicted gene, 40843. The record is from RefSeq and is a predicted model, not a curated record. Lineage: Eukaryota; Metazoa; Chordata; Mammalia; Rodentia; Muridae. The transcript is spliced from 2 exons.
CUGCCCAGGGACCACCGACCCCCCGCCGGGAGCCCACUUACAGGCCCUCCAAGCAGUACAACGAGAGGUCUGGAAGCCACUAGCUGCUGCCUAUCAGGACCAGCAAGACCAGCCAGUGAUACCACACCCCUUCCGUGUCGGUGACACUGUGUGGGUACGCCGGCACCAGACUAAGAACUU